Molecule: ribosomal RNA, 253 nt
Filed under: uncultured bacterium
Lineage: Bacteria
Description: partial 16S ribosomal RNA
Rfam family: Bacterial small subunit ribosomal RNA
Source: RNAcentral
UACAGAGGAUGCGAGCGUUGUCCGGAGUUACUGGGCGUAAAGCGCGCGCAGGCGGCGGUGCUGGCCCGGCGUGAAAGCCCCCGGCUCAACCGGGGAGAGUCGUCGGGGACCGCACCGCUUGAGGGCGGUAGGGGCUGGUGGAAUGCCUGGUGUAGUGGUGAAAUGCGCAGAUAUCAGGAGGAACACCAAUUGCGAAGGCAGCUCGCUGGGACGUUACUGACGCUGAGACGCGAAAGCGUGGGGAGCAAACAGG